Pseudophryne corroboree (corroboree frog) is the source of this 3164-nucleotide long non-coding RNA. RefSeq lists it as uncharacterized. The record is from RefSeq and is a predicted model, not a curated record. The transcript is spliced from 4 exons. NCBI's taxonomy places the organism in Eukaryota, Metazoa, Chordata, Amphibia, Anura, Myobatrachidae.
CUUUCAGUUUCAUCUCUGCAGCGUGCUGUGAUCGGCACAGCAGAGCAGCAUUAAGAGGGGGCAUGGGGGACAAAUUACUACUCCUCCCCUCACCCCACUGCUAGAGCCUUUAAUCAUUGCAGCCACUGCUGCAGUGAACAAGAAAUUCUUGGUCCGAAAAGGGGGCGGGGCUAAACGGCACUGUACACACAGUGCCACCAUGCCAGCCAGCAACAGCGUGGGAGAGAGGAGGGGAGAAGAGCAGCACAGCCUAAACAUACGCCAGAGAAGCAGCACAGCCAGGCCACAGCCAACACUGCCGAGAGAUGCAGAUGGUGGCAAUGCCGGUUCUUCUUCGGCAAAUCCACCAACACUAAGGCGCCCAUCACAGGGCUCGCUUACUGUGGCAACGAGGCCACCCAAGAGACGCCGUCUUGAGGGUCCAGCUCCAGCACCAGCAUCACCACCCCAACGGCGCAUCUCACAGUGUCGGCCGUGCCACCACUAGUUCUAUUGGCCAGCCCCCAAAGUGAGGAUCCACAAUCCCCGCAGUUGUCUGACCCAGCCAUCAUCACCGAGGAUGCCCAGCAGGAACGUGACCAGGAGACCUUCACACUUCACCUGCAGCCCAUCGAUCCGACUCAGACAACCACGCCGCAGGACAUACCCCAACCACCCCAAACAUCCCACAGCCCCCAAUUGAGCACAACACAAGUUGACACACAAAUGGGCCCUGAGUUUUGGAGCCGUUGGUCGUCACAACAGGCGCAAUACUGCGCAAGCCUCAACACCCACAGCCAAUACCUGUCAAGUCUGCCCCAUCAUUUGCCUAGACUGAGUCGCAACUCAGGCAGACUUAUAGUGCAGGUGGGCAGAAUCGCUAACUCCAUGGAACAGAUGAGAGCAGACAACACCCAAAUGCAGUCAAACCUCCAACGCAUCUUGGAUGAUCAGCAGCGGCAGCAACAAUCACUUAUACCGAUCAUACAACACUAUCAAAUGAUCAACGACAACCUCUCACGCAUGAUAGCUAACAACACUGCCGCUAACACUCAGCUCACAGCAAGCUUGAACAAUCUAAGUCAAAGCCUUAGUGUGUUGGCAUCACACCAUGCCACAUCUAGUUCUGGGACAACGACACCAAGCCACACCCCAGUUCAUUCCCCAGUCCGACGCUCAAGUCGAACCCGCACCAACGAGCCAGCACAAUCCUCGGCACCCAGCACACAAAGAAAAAAACAUUAAUAAUGUUCGGUCAGAAUAUAUUGACCAUUACAGUGUUUUUCUUUUAGAUUGGUCGCAAAAAGUUGUGUGUUAAAAUUAAUAAAUUGUGAACACGCAAUAUGUGUAUUGUUUAAUUAGCUCCACAAACCACAUGCACAUUAGUGUCUUGGGCCAGAUGUGGAUUGUUAGACAUAUAUUGCCUGCCCCUAGGUGUACUCAACUCAACAUGUGUGUAAGCUAUGUCACCCAGCACAUUGUCCAUGGCCGCAAGAUUAGAUAAAGCUACCCUGACUGCAUAACACUGCGACUCCUGGGUAGGGAAGCAGAGAGAGGCAUCUAUGUAGCCAUCCAAGACAUCCAAAACCUGAGUGGCCCUUCAAAAAUUAAACGUGAGUGUCAUGACCUGUAAUCAAUACAAUACUGUUUUCUAUUACAUUACAGAAGCUCCACUUAGACAUAGACGUGUAUGUAUGUUUUAACUCACCUGAAUUAAAUAUUUUUAAAAGGUGGCCUGUGAGAUACUAAUUACAUUGCCAGUCACAGGCUGGAAACUGCUGGUAGCCAUAAAGUGCAACACAGGCAGGAGUUUGGGCAGGCCUGAGACAGAGCGAGAGCGUACUGUCUCAGGGUCUAGGGUCAGUUUGACAAGGUCAUACAGAGGGAAAAAAAUAAUUACAUUUAGUCUGAGCAUCUGUAUAACAUGGUCAUCAGCAAUUUUGUUAUCGUUUAAAGUUCGAAAAAAAAACAAGCCAUGGCCAGCCUAUGCGGAACAUGUACAACCUGCUUACCCUGUUGACUUUCCUGGCCAGGGUUUAUUGUAGCCUCAUGGAGCAGUGUCAGGUAUCCCCCAGCAAACAAGACAGCAGUACUACACACAGUAGCAGCCAUUUCAGAUUGAGAGUGGUGAAAAAUGUGCUUGGGUCCCUUUUAAAGGUCCAAAAAGUCAGGUGUGACUAAUGUAGAAUUGACAACACAUGUAAACACGCUUCUCAAAAGCAGGUCUACUUUUUUUUAGGCUUUUUGUACGAUUAGUAAUUUUUUGCGGCCGCAAAUCCAUUUUCACGGUUGAGAUUUCAAAUACGAAUGCUUAGUAAAUGACCGAGUUCUAGAUCUAAACAGCCGCGUUUGACCGAAGGUGUAUUCAUUCGUAUUUUUACUACACAGCCGUAAUAAAAAUACGAAUACCCUCAUCACUGCCGUGAUUUGAGUUUAGUAAAUUCCCGAGAUGACACUUUGAAGAAAAAACACCAUCUCGGUCAAAAUCGGGAGCUUAGUAAAUUUCCCUAUGUGUCGGUUCUUGGGAUGUUUGAAUAAAUUAGUUAAGUUGGAUUGGAAUCGUGAAAUAUAAUUAGAUGGCUUGAAUUGUGAAAUCAGCACAUAAGUAUUAUGUUGUAGUUUAUACAUUCUGGAAUGUAGUAGAGUCUUUCAGAUAUAUGUUGGUUCAUUCAAGAUAGUUACUGACUUGUGCUUGAACCUGGAAACAAAGGAUGGUGGCAUUGUUAUAGUUUUGUGAAGUGAUAACUAUAACCAUAUGCUGAAAUCAGUGUUUUUGGAUUGGACAUGGAAUAUAAUUAGUUGGAUUGAAAUGUGCCUGAAUGAGUUAGUUCAUACAAAAAUGGCUGCUGGCAUGUGAAAUUUUAUGGCCUAACAAAGAAUGCCAUGUGCUUGAACCUGGAAACAUAAGAUGGCUGCUCGCAUUACAAUUGACCAUGCAGUCAGAUGCUGCACCUCCCCUCACCCUCACACAUACAUAACCCAAAAUCAAUAUUCCCCUUAGAUGUUUCUUCAGAUAGAUAUUUCUCCUAUAUCUAUCAAUAAAUCUAGGGAUUGAUUUUUAUUGAAUCUGUGAUUUGCCGAGUGUGUGGAGUAAUAUUUCCCCAGUAAUAAAUAUCUAUAUACAUACACACAUAAAUACACUUCUCACACUCGUCUUUCAUGCUAUUUCUUUCUUAGAUAGGCUG